CAUUAAGUAACUUAAAGUAAGUGUUGGUCUCUUAAACCAAAUUAUAGUAAAUUACAAAUACUCUUAAUG
RNAcentral lists this transfer RNA (69 nucleotides) under Paratkina nigrifasciana. RNAcentral describes it as "tRNA-Lys". Lineage: Eukaryota; Metazoa; Arthropoda; Insecta; Hemiptera; Cicadellidae. The record is from RNAcentral.